UCGAGGGGUAGGGUAGCAAUACCUGAGACCGGCGCACGGGUGCGUAACGCGUAUGCAAUCUACCUUUUACAGAGGGAUAGCCCAGAGAAAUUUGGAUUAAUACCUCAUAGUAUAUAUCAUUCGCAUGUUUGAUAUAUUAAAGUUCCAACGGUAAAAGAUGAGCAUGCGUCCCAUUAGUUAGUUGGUAAGGUAACGGCUUACCAAGACGAUGAUGGGUAGGGGUCCUGAGAGGGAGAUCCCCCACACUGGUACUGAGACACGGACCAGACUCCUACGGGAGGCAGCAGUGAGGAAUAUUGGACAAUGGGCGCAAGCCUGAUCCAGCCAUGCCGCGUGCAGGAAGACGGUCCUAUGGAUUGUAAACUGCUCUUGUACGGGAAGAAACACUCCCUCGUGAGGGAGCUUGACGGUACCGUAAGAAUAAGGAUCGGCUAACUCCGUGCCAGCAGCCGCGGUAAUACGGAGGAUCCAAGCGUUAUCCGGAAUCAUUGGGUUU
RNAcentral lists this ribosomal RNA (496 nucleotides) under uncultured Bacteroidota bacterium. RNAcentral's name for it is "bacterial SSU rRNA". It matches the Rfam family "Bacterial small subunit ribosomal RNA", at positions 62 to 561 of the family's 1533-position model. Lineage: Bacteria; Pseudomonadati; Bacteroidota. The record is from RNAcentral.